CUACGUUCUGUCUCACGGCAACCAGUCUAUCCGGUGGGAGGGGUCAGGGGUCAGCACACGUGUUCUCGCCGCGCCAAGGGUUCAAAGUCACCCGGACACUCUCUCCUGAUUCUCUAGCGUCUUACCCCGACAACAACACAUCUCAGGAGACAAGAAGGAGCAUGUCGGAGACGGCGAGGGGUCAGCGGGGCGGGCGGCGAGGCCAGGCGGGGCAGGGGGACGACCCGGCCCGCCCACUGCGGCACAACGGCACGGUGUCGGCCGAGGAGCACCUCCCCGCGCCGUUCCUGAAGAAGAAGAGUCGGGAGUGGACCCAGGAGACGGACGUGUACGACGAUGGGACCAUCACCUUCUUCUGGCGAGCUCACACCCUGACCGUGCUGGCUGCCCUGAUCUGUGUGCUUGUUUACGUCACACUUCUGGAGGAAACACCCAACAACAGCGAGUACAACACCAAAAGAGGCCUUGCUUUUGUGGUGAUUGUGUUUCUGGCCUUUGCCGUGACCUACACCCCGGACGGACCCUUCAAAAGGCCACAUCCAAGCAUCUGGAGGCUGGUGCUGUGCCUCAGUGUGGUGUAUGAACUUGGCCUCAUCUUUGUGCUGUUUCAGACUGUGGAUGAUGCCAGGCAGCUGAUGAAGUACCUGGAUGAGUCACUAGGGGAGCCGCUACCUGAGCAGUCGUACGGGGGGAACUGUUUACUGUGGGACCCCGGUCAUCCACAGGGACCGCUACACAACCUCUGGGAAAAAUGUGACAUCUUUGUGCCUGCCCAUUUUCUGGGGUGGUAUGCUAAAGCACUGAUCCUGAGGAAUGUGUGGAUAACGAACGUGAUCAGUGUGAUGUUUGAGUUCCUGGAGUACACACUGGAGCACCAGCUGCCAAACUUCAACGAGUGCUGGUGGGACCAUUGGAUCAUGGAUGUGCUGAUCUGCAACGGCCUGGGGAUCUGGUGUGGCAUGAAAACAGUGGAGUAUCUCAAGAUGAAGCCGUACCACUGGCGAGGUUUGUGGCACAUCCCCACGUACCGCGGGAAGAUGAGACGCAUGGUGGCACAGUUCACGCCCUACAACUGGACAUCCUUCGACUGGAAACCUACCCUCAGUCUUAAACGCUGGCUGGCUGUCUUAGGCAUCAUCGCUAUGUGGUUGAUCGCAGAGUUAAACACGUUCUAUCUCAAGUCCAUUCUGUGGAUCCCGCCGCCAAACUGGAUCAACUGGGCGCGGCUCGCCAUGUACGUCCCCGCCUCCGCCGUCGCCUUCAGGGAAACAUUCCAGUUCCUCGACGACCCCACAUGUAAAAAGUUUGGUCAGCAGGCGUGGAUUCUGGCGGCCAUCGUGAUCACCGAGCUGCUCAUUGUCAUGAAGUUCGACCUGAACCUGCUCCUGCUGCCCUUCCCCGAGCACAUCUGGCAGUGCUGGGUCGCUGCGUUCGUGGGCAUCGCAUCCUGGACUGUCUGGAGGUUCUUCAUCAGGUAAGGGUCACAGGUUAGAGGUGACAGGGUAAGGGUUACAGAACCUGCUCCUGCUGCCCUUCCCCGAGCACAUCUGGCAGUGCUGGGUCGCUGCGUUUGUGGGCAUCGCGUCAUGGACCAUCUCGAGGUUCUUCAUCAGGUAAGGGUCACAGGUUAGAGGUGACAGGUUAAGGGUUACAGAACCUGCUCCUUCUGCCCUUCCCCAAGCACAUCUGGCAGUGCUGGGUCGCCGCGUUCGUGGGCAUCGCAUCGUGGACCAUGUGGAGGUUCUUCAUCAGGAGAAACCAGAAGCCAGAAUCAGGGGACUGGAGCAAGCUGGCCCAGAAGUAGUCAUAGAAUACACCAGAAAGUGCCACAUAUAGACUGAAAGGAUCUGCCAUUUUGAGGUCAAGUUCAACAAGUAUCAAAUAUCGAGAUCAAGGUUCAAAGUGGAAAAAAGUCGAGGGUCAGAUGCU
Molecule: RNA transcript, 1929 nt
Organism: Branchiostoma floridae (Florida lancelet)
Lineage: Eukaryota; Metazoa; Chordata; Leptocardii; Amphioxiformes; Branchiostomatidae
Gene name: phosphatidylserine synthase 2-like
Exons: 14
Source: RefSeq, a predicted model, not a curated record